GCCAGCAUCAUCUCCCCAAAUGGAGAUUUUCCUGCUCAGCUUGGGGAGGAAGCUUGCAGCAGUCAGAGUCUCGUCUGAUGGUGGAAUGAGCCAGUUUCCCACGAGGAAAAGACGUUGGUCUCCCUGUGGAACACUCGUCCCCCUCCUUAAAUUCCCAUGCAGAGGGGCUCCCCUGGACUUUCUCAGCUGGGGCCUCAGCCAUCAGAAUACUAUGCACACUGGGAUCUUCUCUCUCUUCUAGCUCUAGGCAGGACCAGAGGGAGGCAGUGAUCUGAGAGAAUAUGCCAUCAUUGGAGAACCACAUUCUCCCUUGGGAGAGAAGACGACUCUCUCAGGUUCUAGACUUGAGCUCCUCUCCCACAACCUUCUUGGAAAUCUGACACAGCAUUUUGGUUUCUAUCUUUUUGGCCAGUACUUAGCAAUUUGGUCACUCCUGGCUGCAAGAGAGGCUGGACAAUGUAGUCUUUUAACAGAGCACACAGCCUACAUGAGAUAAUCAUGUGGAAGAAGAAAGAGAGGGAGAAUAUUGCAUGACCACUAGCAGCCUCCACUACAAUAACAGAUCUUGAUCCAUUUUCCUCUCCACUCACCUGACUUCUGAGUUUUCUGGCUCUGAGCUUGAUGGGCGAGCUGGGGGUUUCACAUGGGCUCCCGACAGCCCAGGAGUUCCGGCAGGUGCUGGAGGCUUCCUCCGGCCUGAGAAGGGGUUCCUACAUUUUAUGGCUGGUUGUACACAGCUGGCAGUUUUAUGACCCUUUCUCCAAACAAAAUCUUACUCAUAUGAACAACUGGUGAAAUUGGAGCAGCGCCGGGUAAAGCCACACCCUGGAGCUCACUGGAAGCCCCUCCCGGGCUCAGCCCUGGCAGACCCAGGCUGCAGGAACAGAAUCGGAAAAACCACUGGACCAGACAACCUUGGAGGCCCUUUCGUAUACGAGGCCCUGCGACUCUAAGGCUUAGUGACUACAAGGCCUCCUUUCUCCAGAGUGACCUCAGAUAGAGGCCUCCUGGAUUUCUGGAAGAUUCUAUCCUAGAGUGCCCUGCUUAGAGUUGGAAGAUCCCUCAGGUCUCAGCUUUGGAUUUGGGAAUCCACUGCUGCCAAACUGAAUGUCAUUAUAGGGUGAGACUCCAGGGGAAGCUCAGGAUGCAUGCCUCCACCCGGAGUCUGGGUCCAGGUCAAGGAUGCCGUGCGCACAGCAACAGGUUCAGAGUGGCGUCUGGGGCGGUCUCUCUCCUUCCUGUGGGAAGGGCUCAGCAACUCUUCAAAGCUUGAAAUCUAUCCAACUCUUCUUUCUAUACCAUUACCUGCUCCUGUUCCGGUACACAGAAGGCACUCAAUCAAUGCUGUGUGCAUGAAGGAAGGACAACAUGGAUAAAGGCACAGAGGCGUGAAGGAGGGCAGAAACCAGUUGGUGGGUACGGAUGGAGGGAGCCAGGAACAGGCAACAGGGGAAGUGGGAGAAGAGGCCAUGACAGAUCACAGCGGGCUCAGAACCCCAUGGAAAGGAGCCGUUUCUGGUCCCGAGGACAGCAGAGAGUUAACGGCCAUCUUCCAGCCGGAGAGGUAUAGGUCAGACCCGUGUCCUGGAAGCAGCCCUCUGGCUGCCUCCCGGAGGAUGCACUGGAUGAGAAAGCGAAGAUUCCAGCGAGGGCCCCACAUGGCCCGGGAGCAGUGCCAUCGCCACCUUCCAGCCCGCCUUUUAGACCUACAGUUACUUCUGCAAAUGGACAUGUGGCCUCUCUCAGAUGUGGUAUUUUUGAUGUUCUCAUGUAUAAAUGCAUUAAAAAGAGAGCUUCUUUUCA
This 1803-nucleotide long non-coding RNA is filed under the name Equus caballus (horse). Its description in RNAcentral is "lncRNA (ENSECAG00000055687.1)". The record is from RNAcentral. Lineage: Eukaryota; Metazoa; Chordata; Mammalia; Perissodactyla; Equidae.